CUCAUCACAGCCGCAGGCCACAGGGGGUUUGGUGGAGAAGUCUGAGGAGGAGCAGAUUCUUCGCUCUCUUGCUCGCUGACGGCUGUAGGAUCUCGGGAGGGGCCCGGCGUGCGGAGGAUAGGGGGGCCCAGGAAGGAGGAAUUAGGCGGGAUGACUCAUUCGUCACCCUGCUUCCUUUAGACCUGCGAUAGAGUCACCCAGGAUCAGGGGGCGUGAGAACCUCCUCCCCGCCGCCGGUGGGCUGGCAGAGGGGGCGGAUGCUUCUCGUCGGCCUGGAGCGUUUGGCGACACCCUGGGCGAGAGCUGCGCAGCUCAGGAAGCCCCUUCUCCGCUGCCGGCCCCCACCCCGGCCGCUGAAGCCGGAGCCUGGAGCGCCCCCACCUGGAGCCUGACGGCGCUGGCGGGAGCCGUGGCGAGAGCCUCUAAGCCUCCUUCUGCUUCGUCCAAGGCCCCCGUGUCCAAAGGGGGGUUAAUAAUAGCGACUUCCUGGCGUGCGUGGCCUGAGAUUUAGCGAGACAUCGCUAGAGACGACACUAUCUGCAAAACUGUUGAUAUGGUGAUGGGGAAGAAAAGAAAGGAAAAUCAUUGAAUCAAGUGACAUGCUAAAGUAGUAAUUUAUUUGAAAUAGUACAUGGCUGACUUUUGCUGAGUGAUUCAUGCUGUCGUGAUAAAACUUAUUUCCAAAUUCUAAGAAAAUUUUCCAAACUUCCAUCUCCCAGAAAAGGCAUAGACUUUCUUCAAGCGUGGUUGGGAUGUCAUCUGUACUUUGCAGGACACAUCUAAUUUAUGGGUCCCAAGAGAAUUUGCUUACACCAAGUAGUUAAUUACUGAGGAACUGUUAGCAAGAAGUGUCACUACAAUUGUAAGUUACCAUCUUUUCUUGAUUUUUGUAUGCAAUUGGCUGCAAAUCACAGUGACUGUGGGCCCAGGAAGUGAGGAAUUGAGUUUGGACUUCAUCAAAGCAUGCACUAUCUAUGGUGAGAGGCCUGCUUCUUAGCAGAGAGUUUGUGCUUAGUUCAAAGGAAAGGAUGUUUCUCAGGGGAAGGCUGGUGGUGCAAUAGUGUUGGCUAUGCAGACCUCUACACAAUAUAGAUUCACUGCAGAGUAGAUUCCUGUACAGUCAGUAUGCAAAGUUCUGAACUAUUAUGAAGUAUCUUGCAGGGAUUUGUUAGAUCUAUUUUUCAAGACUUAGCUAAAUACUCGCUCCUAGGAGAGCUCUUAAAAUAAAUGUCAUUUACUGAGAAUUCACCCUCUUCCAGGCUGCGAGUUUGUUUAUUUAUAUGCAUUACUUGGCCCAGUUCCCUGUAAUAAGAAUCAUCAUUCUGCAGGUUAAUAACUUGAGGAUAAGAAAAGACACUUGAGUAAGUACUCAAGGUCAGAUAUUGGUGACUCGGGUUUGAAUUCAGGCAUAUGGAAGUUUGUUCCUUGGUUCAUUCAUUCGUUGAGUGAAUAUGGAGUUCAAUGGUGUCAGUUUCUCUGUGUGACAAAUAGCCCAAAUGGUCAUUGUUAACUUCUAUGAUAUUCUGCUGUAUAGUCUCUGAGAUUUUAUUAUUUUUCCCACAUUCAUUUCUCUAAAAUGUUUCAGUAGGCAUUUGAAGAUUUCCCUUAUAAUGUACUACUUGGCUAUGGUGUCUGUACUUUAAACUCAUCAGUGAGGUAUCUUUAAAGGGGAAUGUGUAUCUGAAUGUAAUCAAUGAUAUUAUACACAUGCUAUCCCAUUGGGAAAAUAUCUUCUGUUAUCCAGCUGGUGUUUGGUCUAUGCCCUGAAGCUUGAGAAUGGAUAGCUCUGUAAUUUGACCAUUCCUGCUGUGAUUCAGAUGUUCUCAUUUGGGUAAAAUGCCUGAUUAUCCUCUGAGACUUGGUGUUUUUUCAGCAGUAAGUUGAACAAAUUUAAAAUACACCAGCAGCUUUUCCAUUUUGUAAAAAAUCUUAAUGUUUUCCAGUGAAAACACUGUUAUUGACAUAAUGGUCUCUGAACCUGAAGAAUGAACAUGAAGAGAGGAUUCUCAUUCUUAUCUCUCUACAUUGUCUCCUAACCCCAUCUCUUCUUUUUUGUAGGGGGUAAAGUCAAAGCAAAGAGUUGAUCAUAGGCUGACAAUUUAAAAUUCUCUGACCUACACUCACAAAUACUUUUUACUUGCUUAGUGAUUAAGGAUAUUACUGAAUGUGCUUUGUGAAAAUUGAGUCAUUUGAAAACUGUUAGGUGUGAUGUUUCUAUUUUUAAAAGAAACUAUGAAGAAACUUCUUUCUGUGGCAUAAUUUAGCCCGUUAAUUU
This is a long non-coding RNA of Heterocephalus glaber (naked mole-rat), 2275 nucleotides long. RefSeq lists it as uncharacterized. Lineage: Eukaryota; Metazoa; Chordata; Mammalia; Rodentia; Bathyergidae. The record is from RefSeq and is a predicted model, not a curated record.